This 21-nucleotide non-coding RNA is filed under the name Caenorhabditis elegans. Lineage: Eukaryota; Metazoa; Nematoda; Chromadorea; Rhabditida; Rhabditidae. The record is from RNAcentral.
UUUCUGUUGAUUCUGACUUUC